This 514-nucleotide small RNA is filed under the name Pongo abelii (Sumatran orangutan). Its description in RNAcentral is "retained intron". The record is from RNAcentral. Lineage: Eukaryota; Metazoa; Chordata; Mammalia; Primates; Hominidae.
GGUGAAGGUCAUGGACAGUGUAAUUGCGGAAGAUGUGACUGCAAAGCAGGCUGGUACGGGAAGAAGUGUGAGCACCCACAGUCCUGCACACUGUCAGCUGAGGAGAGCAUCAGGAAGUGCCAGGGAAGCUCUGAUCUGCCUUGCUCUGGGAGGGGUAAAUGUGAAUGUGGCAAAUGCACCUGUUACCCUCCAGGAGAUCGCCGGGUGUAUGGCAAGACUUGUGAGUGUGAUGAUCGCCGCUGUGAAGACCUCGAUGGUGUGGUCUGUGGAGGUAGUAACCUUUCUCAUAGCUGUAUGCUACCUGCAUGCCACUUGCUUUACCUGCCUUUCUUAUUCUACUGACUCUUGCUUUUUCAAUUGCUGUUAAAAAUAAGAUAAACAGAAAGCAAUAUACCAUUGAACCUAAAAGCAAUAUACAAUUAGGUUUGUAAUGACCUUUAUUUCCCUGAACUCUUUAUUUAGCAGGUAUGUGAAAGUACACAGUACACUAUCAAUAAAAGAUCAUUGAAUCUAA